CUUACAGUCACAGGCUGGGAGAGUUUUUAGUACAGCAAUGGGAGAAGAGCCCUAAAAUAGGGAGGAGGUUCCACUGUAGUAACGUUCCUGUUCCAUCAGCCCUCACACUGAGUAAAACUACAGAACUUGAUUAAAAAUCUAUUCGCUACAUCAAACAGUCAUAUAAAGAAAAUAAUGAAACCCAAACCAUCAGGAACGGUAUCACUUGAGCAGAGCAUAGGUGCAAGUACCAUCCGUGUUAUAUGCAGAAACAUUCACCUUGACCCCAGGGGGGAUCUGGGCUGAGACUAGAUGACUGAAAUCUCUGGGCGAUGGUGAACACAGAAUUGGGGGCAGCAGAUAUGAAGACGCACUGAGCCACAUGCCGGACGCCCCAAGCGCAGAGAGAGCUUGUGAGCUUCUAGCGGUGGAGACUUGACACACUGUGGGAGAGGAAAAUGAAGUUACUGGACCCACUGAAACGGGACUCAUUGAUCCUCUAGCCCAUGGUGGGCAGUGUGCAUCAGCGGGGUCCUUCACAGUUUUAGAUGCUCCUUCUCUUCAAAUUUCGUGCUCAUCAAAGUACAUAUUUUUUCUGCACUGUAUCAAAGAAUCCUUUGUUUAA
This 604-nucleotide long non-coding RNA is filed under the name Equus asinus (donkey). RNAcentral describes it as "lncRNA (ENSEASG00005033008.1)". Lineage: Eukaryota; Metazoa; Chordata; Mammalia; Perissodactyla; Equidae. The record is from RNAcentral.